AAAUUGAGACCGUUGGUCAAAAGACAACUGGAAGCGGGAAGCGCGCGGAUGGUUGGAGAGACGCGACCAAUAAGAGAUGACUUGCAUCGGAUUGACGUGAAAGUACCUGGCUUAUCCUGCCCCUGUCCAGUUAAGUGGUGGAGAGUUUGGGAGCUGUGAACUCGGAUAGAAAAAUGUAUCAACCGCCACGAACAGGUUGGUGUAUUGGGGCGGAUUGUUCUGUCCUCUGUAUUUCAGACCAAAGCAAGACAAUGUUUAAAGCUCGCUAUGGAUCUACUAACAGGUU
Molecule: long non-coding RNA, 286 nt
Organism: Coregonus clupeaformis (lake whitefish)
Lineage: Eukaryota; Metazoa; Chordata; Actinopteri; Salmoniformes; Salmonidae
Exons: 3
Source: RefSeq, a predicted model, not a curated record